UUACUUAGCAUUUCCCACUAUAGUACCUCUUACCCACAGGUCAAGAACUAAUGUGAAAGUUCAUCAAACUACCAAAUAUGUCGUUUUCACUUACUUACUUGGAGACCUAGGAAAUGACUGACCACCAUUUGUGUUCAUGAGUCCUGUCUCCCUGUGACCCAGACCUAGGCCAAUACUCUAUUAUCUGGUCACCAUAUUCCUCAACUCUACUGAUGAGGGGUAUCAUAACAUUGAAGUCCCAGAGUAUCAAUACCAUGCUAGAACCUGUGUCAAUAGUCUCAACAUGUUGGCAUAUUUCUUCUUCUCUGGUGUAUAGUUACCUGAGUAAAUCAUUAUACACUUGCCAUGGUGUUGCAGGUAACUUCUUCCUGGAGACCUGGCCACUUCUUUAGUCAGUAGGUUCAGUAUCUGAAAAACUGGCUGAAGUUUCGAAACCAGGCUUCGUUCAACAGAAAUCAAGAAGGAGCCCAUAAGCUCAGUGCAAGAUCAACCUUCUGACUCCAUGCCUCCUCUACAGCAGGAGUGGAGAGGGAACUCUCAAACUUGGAGUAAGAUCAGACCUCUGCAGGACACCAUUGGCAGGAGACAACCGAAUGCCCAAGCACACAGAAUAAGACUGUCCAUCUACACAGGAUAUGCUUCUGUCAGCAGGAGCCAAAUGGGAGAUUCUGAGUAACACAUGUUCCUGGUCAACCCAUCCUUGAUCCUGUCUUUCUUCAACACUCCUACCCUGUAUCUGUGUUCUUUUUGUGUUUAUAAGAAGUUCAGGACUCCUAGUUCUUUUACUCCAGAAUUCUAAUUCUCCCUAAAUUACCUUAUAGAACUUUUUCUGACCCAUUUUCUUCAUACUUUUUCUGAGUCCUGAAACUUUUUCUUGUACUGUUCGCAACUCAAGAUCACUGGUCAGCAAAAUCCUCUGUGUUUUUAACUUCUACUGUGAAUGUUGCCUUCUCCUUCUGUGCUAAUGGAAAUCUAGCUUUUCCCUAGUUAUAGUUUCUCCUGUAGCUGGUGGCUAAUAGUAAAUAUUAAACAAUGUGCUCUUUGGAAAGAGAAAUAAGCAAAAACCUUGAUUUGUUGUACUUUCCAGUUUUUGUGCUAUAAAUGCAUCAAAGUCAUUCAUUUACCAUCAUAAUUUGGCAAAUGUGGAGUUGGGAAGUGAUGUCCACAGUCAGCAAUUAUAAACUAGUAUGAGCUAGGGUUUCCUGGAUGGGCAGUGGCUAGGUGUCUGACUCUUGGUUUUGGCUGAGGUCAUGAUCUCAGGGUCCUGGGACUGAGCCCCACAAUGGGUACCAUGUUCAACAGGGACUCUGUUUAGAGUCUUUCUGCCCCUUUUCUUCAUGCAUACAUGUUUUCUCUCUCUGUGUGUCUCAAAUAAAUCUUAAAAAAGGAAACAAGGUAGUAUGAGCCAGCUUGGGCUCACCCUGUCUUGUAGCACUUUUAAAGGUAACUGUUUUCUCUCCACUCAACUAUAACAUCGGACCUGGAGUUGAGAUAAAUGUCCUCUGUGCUUCUCAUUUGUGCUUUCAAGUCCUUUCCCCUCCUUUCUUCAUGAACACACUCUACCUUGAAUAUUGUAUCAUCAGAUUAUCCUACGUACUAUAACUUUUUAAUAUAUGCACUUUUUCUCAGGUCACUGUUUUUUGUAAGUUUAAAAUAAUCAUCCCUGUGACAUUGUCACUUUCUUAAAAAAUGAUUCCUGCUAUAGUUUUUUAUAAAGUAUUUUUUUAAUUUUUCAUAAUUUAUAAUUCUUUAUAACUCUGGACUUUCAGUUCCUUGAUAGCCUCUCUUUUAGUGAUUUUGUUUCAUUCUCAGUCAUUCACUUUCUGGUUAUUUUUUAGGCCUUGAUGUUGGCGAUAGCUGCCACAUUUUUAAUUUCUUUUGCUACUUGAACCUCAUCUCCCUGAACCCUGCAUGUUGAGGUGUUCCAGAGCUCAGUUCUAGGGCCUUUUCUGUUUGCCAUCAUCACUCCAUAGGUGAUCUCAUCCAGUCUCAUGGUUUUAAAUUACCUAUAUGUUAACAACUCCUUACUUCACAUCUUCUACUGAGAUCUCUUUCUAAAGUCUGGUUUUGUAUAUCCAACUACAUGCUUGACACAUGCAGUUGGAUAUCAAUUCUCCACUAAAAUUCUGUCUUCUGAUGUUAUCUCUAUCUUAAUUAUUGGAAACUACAUUCCUCUCUAGUUACUUAGCCAGAAAACUGGAGUUAUCCUUGAGUCACUUCUGUCUUAUACACUUCACAUCAGAUAUGAAAAUAAAUUAUUUUGGGUCUAUCUUUGAAAGAUAUCCACACUUCCAUCUUUCCUUGCCACUAACACUAUUAAUGUCUGUUCUUUAGUUUUUGGUUUCAUCAUCUCUAAUUUGGAUUAUCGCAGUAGUGUUUUAACUGGUCUCUUUGCAUUGUCUUUGUUUUCUUCUAGUCUUCUUUAAACACAGAAGCCAGUGAUUUUCUUAAAACAUAGGUCUAUCCAUAACAUUUCUCUGCUUAAAAUUUUCUAGUGGCAUUCUAUCAAGUGAAGUCAUUAUGGCCUCUGAUACUAUACAUGGUAUGGCCUUAUUUUAACUCUCUGACCUCAUUUCCUGCUAUUCUCCCAUUUUUUUACUUAAUUCUGGCCACACUAGCCACCUACCUAUUUGUAGAACACUCUAGACAUGCCCCUACCUCUAGGCUUUUUACUUUGAGGUUUCCUUUGCCCUCAUUCUUCCUUCAGAUAUCCAAAUGACUCAUCCCCUUAUUUCUUUCAAAACUUUAAUAAAAUAUCUCCUGGUAAAGAGACUGUCCAUAAUCAUCCAAUCUAAAUUUUACUAAUCUAAAUGUUAAUGCUACCCCUCAUUCCUUGAUCCUUUCUCAGUCUCUUUCCUGCUUUUUCCCCCUCUCCAUACAUGUCUUACAUAUCUUUCUAUUACAUAUUUGUGUUUUACUUAUUAUUAACCUGUUUAUUGUACCUCUUUUCCUCUAGAAUGUAAGCUCUAUGAAAGCAGAGAUAUUUAUCUGUUUUAUUUACUCUUAUAUCUCCAGUGCCAAAAACAUGACUAGCAAAUAGUAUUUAUAAAUAUAUGUAUUCGAAUGAAUGUAUAUGUGAAAAAAGUUACUUGUUAUAGACAUGACAUGCUGUAGACAUGAAAUUGAUUAAGUAAAAUUUUUUAUUGUUUAUAAUAUCAUCUAUGAAUAAUGAUAAUUGUGAUUUUCCUUUUCCAAACCUGCAAAACAGUAUAUACAUUUAUCUUUGUGCAUAGUCUAGGACCUCUAGAAAGUUGUUGAGUGAAAGUGGUUGGAAUGGGCAUUUUUAUUCUGUUCUUGAUUUUAAAGGGAACAAAUCUGAUAUUUCAACAUGAGCAAAUGAUAUUUACUAUAAGUCUUUGGUAGAUGUUCUUUAUCAGACUAAAUAGGUUAACCUUUGCUUCCAUGUUUGCUGUGUUUGUUUAUUUGUGCUUUAUCAUGAGUUAGUGUUAACUUUGGUAAAAAUAAAUGAAGGGCAAACUUUUUUAUCAUGUUCAAGUGUUAAAAUUUAUUUUAUAAUGAAUGAAUAUUGAAUUUUCUGUUUUGAGAUGAUUUUCUCCAUUAAUAUGUGAUAAGUAAUAUUAUAGAAUUUCUAAUGUUAACAUUCUCUUUCAUUCUUGGUACAAAACUAAACAUUCAUUAUGUGUUAUUGAUUUCUUCAUUGGACCUAAUUCACUGUUUUUUAAAGGAUGCUUGCUUCUAUUUUAUGAAUAAAAUGGCGUUUAUUUUCUCUUUUUA
Canis lupus familiaris (dog) is the source of this 3735-nucleotide long non-coding RNA. RefSeq lists it as uncharacterized. The transcript is spliced from 2 exons. Lineage: Eukaryota; Metazoa; Chordata; Mammalia; Carnivora; Canidae. The record is from RefSeq and is a predicted model, not a curated record.